CACUCCUACGGGAGGCAGCAGUGGGGAAUUUUGGACAAUGGGCGAAAGCCUGAUCCAGCCAUGCCGCGUGCAGGAUGAAGGCCUUCGGGUUGUAAACUGCUUUUGUACGGAACGAAACGGCCUUUUCUAAUAAAGAGGGCUAAUGACGGUACCGUAAGAAUAAGCACCGGCUAACUACGUGCCAGCAGCCGCGGUAAUACGUAGGGUGCAAGCGUUAAUCGGAAUUACUGGGCGUAAAGCGUGCGCAGGCGGUUAUGUAAGACAGUUGUGAAAUCCCCGGGCUCAACCUGGGAACUGCAUCUGUGACUGCAUAGCUAGAGUACGGUAGAGGGGGAUGGAAUUCCGCGUGUAGCAGUGAAAUGCGUAGAUAUGCGGAGGAACACCGAUGGCGAAGGCAAUCCCCUGGACCUGUACUGACGCUCAUGCACGAAAGCGUGGGGAGCAAACAGGAUUAGAAACCCUUGUAGUCCCAUG
This 474-nucleotide ribosomal RNA is filed under the name uncultured organism. RNAcentral's name for it is "partial 16S ribosomal RNA". It matches the Rfam family "Bacterial small subunit ribosomal RNA", at positions 334 to 799 of the family's 1533-position model. The record is from RNAcentral.